This is a long non-coding RNA of Trifolium pratense (red clover), 7010 nucleotides long. RefSeq lists it as uncharacterized. The transcript has 12 exons. Lineage: Eukaryota; Viridiplantae; Streptophyta; Magnoliopsida; Fabales; Fabaceae. The record is from RefSeq and is a predicted model, not a curated record.
GCAUCAAACAAACAAGUUCGUUUUGGCACAUUCUUCUUGAUUAUUACUCCUGUACACAUUAGGUUCUUGCAUUUAAUCUGGUUCACAUGCUUUCGGUUCAGCCAAUAAAUGUGCGGAACCGGUGGCAGGCAGAGGUUUACAUAUUUUUCAUACAGCCUUGGGAUAAAACAGAGGGAGGUUUAUGGAGGAGAUAUGGCUGUGAUUGAUGUUAUGAAGUUUGCAGCAGAGCAUGGAAGUAACUUUUAUCAUCUUAUGAGAGAAAGUAACCUCAAUGAAGAAAGAAUGGAUGAAACUCACUUACAAAUACAGGGAAGGCCAAGGGAGCAGGUUUUGGCCGAGAAAGGUCAAGAUUGGAAGAAAUACAGUGCUAUAAAUACAGGGAAUAGGGACAACAGAGGCAGAGAAAGGUUAGAAGAUACUCUAGGAAAUAUAAAGUCCAGUGAUGAAUUGUAUCAAAAGUACAAAGUUCAGUUGGAAAAUUUUAAAACAAUGAAGAAAUGUUCAACCUAAGAUCGAAGGCAACAAAAAUCAUUGAUAGCUGGAAGUUCAAUCCAAGUGGUAAGAUCAUCUCAAAUAAAACAUAAUAAGCAAGAUCACAAGAAGCAAUCACUUGAUCAACAAGGUAUUUUAUUAUUUAUCUAUUGGUGUUAGUAUGAAAUUCAGAUGCUCUUAAUUUUUCUAAGGGCUUGUUUUCAAUUCAAAGUCUUGUCAGCUUGAAUGAAAUAAAUUUCUUAAAGACCAAAUUUCUUAAAGACCAAGAUAAGUGUUUGAAUUAUCUGCGUAUUCAUGGUAACGGCAUAGGUGUUUGAGAUAGAUAGAGAUAUAGUAUUAGUUAACGUAAAAACGUAAAAUGGCAUAGGUUUUGAAAAAAAUUCACACAAUCACACUUGACUUUUCUUUUACACAUCGGUAAUCAAUUAUGAACGUUUCGUGAUUCUUGUUAAAAUUGAAUUGAAGUGUGAACAUGUUCUGCUAAAUUCUAUAAUCUUUUUUUCUUGGUUUUUCUACAACUAUAUAUCACACUACCCCAUCAUAUCUAGUAAGCUCAAAUACAUUUUUUUCUUAAAAAAAAAAAAAAACUACCCCAUCAUAUUACUGAUUUCUCACAUUUUAGUUUUCCAUAUGUAAUCUGGCAGUAUAAAUUUUCAGCACAUGUUUCAUCUGUUGUGAUGUUCACAGGGUAUGUGUUACAUUGCUUUGAUGUGCAGCAUAGGUCUACUUUCUCAAUCACACUGUAUCUUGUUAAAUUUUCUGUCUGAAGUGGAGAAGUAGAAGAUGAGUGCAUAAUAUAUAUAUAUAUAUAUAUAUAUAUAUAUAUGCAACUAUUGCUAGGCUUAAUUUGGCUAUCUGUACUGUGUAUGCGUGUCUGUAUUGUUUUCGUUCCCAAAUAGUUGUUCUUUAAUCGUGUGCAAAUUGUCUUGCUCUUUUUUUUUGUUUCUUCCAGUGUUUGUGUGUUUCUUUCAGUGUUUGUGUGUUUUUGUAUUUGGAACUUGUGUACAACACUCAAUUAUCUCUUUGCCUUUCCCAAGACGAGCAAGUUUGGACAAUUUGGUUAUGUCAUACGUGCUGUUUGUUCUGACAAUUUGUUCAUUGGGAACAACUUAACUUUGACCGAGGAGGUUUUCUAUAAUCGUCUUUUAAAUUCACAACGAUGAAGAUGAUACUUCUUAAAAAACAUCAUGUUCAUUUAAGGGCCCAGGGACUUCUCUGUAUUAAGAGGAAGCUGCAAUUGUCUCUUCAUAUUGGUACACGAUGUUCUUGCAAAAUGUUCCAAUGAGUCAUCAUCUUCUGGAGGUUGUCCUAUAGUCGCUACUGUUGCUGGGCUAUAAUUUGGUCAUCACUGUUGAGACUCUUGCAUUUCAAUCUUUUUUUGCAUAAUCAGCGUCUACUUUUGUCAGCUCUUUUGAGUUUUUUGUGUAGGUGUUGCAGGGGAAGUGGCCUAUAAAUGUGUGGCAGGCAGAGGUGUUGCAGGGGAAGUGGCCUAUAAAUGUGUGGCAGGCAGAGCGAGUCGGAGUCCGGAUAUCGAUCAUUGAUUCAACAAAUAAUAGCGAAUUUCUCUAGAUAGACAAAUAAAAUUUCAUCUGGACUUGGGUGUUUCCAAUGUAGUAUCAGAUAAUGGUAAUGUUGUGCUAAAGUUGAUACAUGGUUAUAACCCCAGUGUUGAAUUGUGAAUGAAAACUGCAUCUUUGUUCUAUGUUCUGCCAUGUCUUCUGUUUUGAAGCAGUAACUUACUGGGUAGUAUGAAGCAAUCAGGUUUGGGUACCAAGUCUUCGAAACAGCUUAAUAGGUUUGGGUACUAAGUCUUCGAAACAGUUUAAGAGGUUUGGCUAUCCCUCGUAGAACCUGCAACUGGAGAAAGAAGUUGCAAGCUAAGAAGUCUUGAAAUCUAGAACGAUUUGAUAUAUGACAAAAAUGGAGAAUGGUACCAGAUAGAUAAAUUAAACUUCUUCAAUACCAAUCGUUCUUUAUCAUUUUUAUUUUUGGGCUGUGAUUGUGAGACUAUGAAUUAAAUUUUGAACAUAUUUUAAAUAUUUCUUCUGAUUUUGUCUUUAUCGCUGGUAUUCUGUUUCAAUUAGGUAUCAGAUUGUGGUGAUGUUUUGCGAAACUAGAUUCACGAUAAUAAGUGCCUCUGGUUGAAUUGUGAAUACUGAAUGUACUGUAUCGUGUUUUGAAACAGUAGUUUUGAGUUGUUUCAAGCAAUAAGGUUUAUUUUGGUACACUCUUCUUGGAUUGUAAAUUAACUUCUUGGGUAGUUCCGGGUAGUUUCAAGCAAAUCAGGUUACUUGGAUUGUAAAUUAACUUCAAUUUAAUUAUCCUCUGUUUAGUUUUAAUGUUUAUCGAUGGACGGUGAGGGUUGGUGACGACUUAAUUUUGUGGGGCGGGGUUUUAUAUAGUUUUACAUAAUCUUGUACUGUUUUGUUGUUUUUAUUGUUAUAUGUGAUUUGAGAUUUGUACUUCUAAAAAGAUAUCCGCUUCAUUACUGUAUUAGGAGGAAUCCAAAUUUGUGUUAUAUGAGUACAUGAUGUUGCAAAGUGGGUACAUGUUGCAAAGUGGAUACAAUUUGUUCCAGUGAAUGAUCAUCUUCUACAGGCUUUAAUUUUGGUCAUCUCUUCUACGACGCUUUACAUUUCAGCUAGUUUACUCAGUAUCUACUUCUGCAGUUCUUUUGUGUUAUUUGUGUGGGUAUUACAGGGGAGAGGUUCACAUACUUUUCGUUCAGCCUAUAAAUGUGUGGUUUGCUGCGAAAUCAGUGGCAGGCAGAAGUUUACAUACAGGGUUUGCUGUACUUGUUUACUUUUUCGCUUGGUAGGGAUUUACGUAUUAAUACGCAUUUCCCAGAAUUUCAAGAGUUUUUCUCCUAAAUUAGAAGCAUAUUGGAGAACUAGAAUCUGCUGUACUUUCCUAAAUUGGUAUGCCUCACAAAUUGUGAAAUCACAAAACCGACCUGAUCACAAGAAACCAUCAUUUGGCUAAUCUUAUCAAAUAUCGGGAACAACCAGACCGACCUGAUCUUUCUGCUCCUCAAAGCUUGCAAUUGUAUCUGAGAUUUGACCCGCUGAUAAUUUCCUCUGAAUUGAACUCUGGCAGGUUGGCAAUUUUCAUUUUUCUUUAUAUAUUCAAGGUGUUUGUUUUACAUAUUCUAUCUGCAAUUUAUGUGCCUCCUUAUGAAAGAAAUUUAGAACUAUAGCAUGAAAAGGAGCAAAAUUUGAUGAUGGCGAAUCUCAUAUAUGCUCUAAUCUUGAAAAUAAGACUAAUUGCAGAACAACGGUAUUUUACUUUCCCUCGUUUUAUAUUCCCGGUAGCAUAUAGAUAUUUGUUUUGCAAAUCUUACUAUCUGCUUUUGUUUAUGUUUUGUCUCUACUCAGCUCUCAAGGUCUUCACUUCUUGCUGAACUGGCAUCAGAGGGAGUAAUGUCCUAUGCUUCAUAAGAAGUGCAUGACAUUUACACAGACAUUUCUUCCCUCGGAUCUUGCACUUAAAAGUACCACCCAAGGAUGAGGUUGCUACAACAGGUGCAUUUCUGUAGAUGCUGUUAAACAUAAAUUUCUACCAAUGAAAGUUGAUCACAGGAAAAAAGUUGUAAUUUUCUGCAAGAAGGUAUGUUUUCCUUUGUUAAACUUUGUUGUACUGGAGAAUUGCAAUUUAUUUGUUUGAAGAGAAUAUUGUGUUGCAUGUGUGGAAACUGAACUUAGAUAUGGUUUGGAAUAAUAACAAUAGAGAGAGUUGGGGUAGCACACCUAUUUUAGGAAAGAUGAUUAAUUCUUGAUUUAGCUGGUUUGAGCAUGUUAUUUGAGGAAUUGUAGAAAAUAAUAAGUGAAUAUUGUUCUAGGUUAUUCCUCAGCUCAAGGUUGGUUUAAAUAGGAAGAGUACAAAAAUAAAAGGAAAUAAUAGAUAAGCUUAGAAUCUCCUAGAAAUAACAAACUAGGAAACCAAAUAUUUUCCAACACCCUCCCUCAAGUUGGUGCAUAGAUAUCUAUCAUGCCCAACUUGUCUAUCAAAUGCUCAAAGGUGGGUCUUGCUAAGCUUUUGGUCAAGCUAUCCGCAGUUUGCUGACUCAAAGUUACAAAAGGUAGACAUAUGAUUCCGGCAUCUAACUUCUCUUUUACGAAAACUUUUUCUUUUGGUUUACUAUUAUUGGAAAACUUUUUGUAGUUGUGAAUGUUACCGGAGAACUUAGUUAAUGUGUUCACAAUGAUAGAAGGGUAAAGUUGGAAUUUUUUAUAUUUUUUUGGGGUAAAGGUAUUAAAGUUGGGGUAGGAAAAAAAAAAAUUCCCCGGUCUAAACCGCAAAGUCAAAAAUAAGGCCCAAUCCGUCCAAAAAAUGAAGAUCGGUUUUCACGGAUUUGGGUUUGCGAUUUUAGCGCGUUCCCGGGCAGUUUGAAGCGGUUAAACAUAAAAAAAUAAAAAUAAAAACAAUAACAAACCCAAAAAUUGGAGUUUAGAUCCAUAAAAUAUGCAAUCGGAGCUGAAAGAAUCAUGAAACAAACACAAAAGGAAAGUCUUAGAAACCCUAAAUCGACAUAAAAAAUAAGAAAAAAAAUUAAAAUCGCAAAUAAAAUUAAAAUAUAACAUUUGAUUUCAACGAAGUUAAACAAACAAGAUGAAUUAUUAUCAAGUUUUGGGUUUCAAAAUGUUUCAGUCUCCGUGGGUUUGAGAUGAAGUGAGAAAGUGUGUAGAGGAGACAUGAGAAGAGCCUAGAUUCGGCGUUUUGAUUUACUCAUGCGGGCGGGUUUCGGGCACCGUCCUCUACUCGGACUCACCCCUUACCAACCCAGUUUAAACCAAUUUUUUCAACCCGCUAACCCACGACCCAUUAUAAACCGUCCAAAUCUCUAAUUUUUGGGCGGGUUUUGUUGGGUUCGGACGGGCCUCGGUUUUUUACCCAACCCCUAACAAAGAUGGGGGUUUAAACUUGACCAAAAAUAAAACAAUGGAGUUAAAUUUUGACAAAUAAAUAUAGAGUAAAAUGUCAAAUACCCCCUAAAAUUUCAAAUUUUGUCAAAUACCCAUGAAAUUUGGAAAUAGGAAAAUACUCCCGAAAAUUGUAAAAAGUCAAUCGAAUUACCCCCUGCUCUGUUUACACCGUCUAUUUUGAUGACGUAGCUGUUAACUGCAUACGUAGCACCUGCCAAUCAGAGUCCACGUCACUGACACUCAUUUAAGUGGGGGUAUUUGACCGAAAUUGGUAACAAAUAUACCAUUAUAACAGUCAUAUUCAAUGAUGUUAUGAAAUUUUAACAGUCAAAUACCCCCUAAAAUUUAUAACUUAUUGUCCAAAUACCUUCAGUCAAAUUGCCCUAUGUGACGUGGCAUCCUAAUACUUUACAGAUCAUCAUGCCACGUCACCCUUAUUAGCCACAUCAUCAUCGCACUUAACGGAACAAAAUAAUGGAGGGGGCAAUUUGAUUGACAUUUUACAAUUUUAUGGGAGGUAUUUCUCUAUUUCCAAAUUUCGGGGAGGAUAAGUAAGGGGAUAUUUGACGAAUUUUAAAAUUUCAGGGGGUGUUUGGCAUUUGACUUAAUAAAUAUCUAUAAAAAAAAAAUAAAUUUAUAAGCAAUAUCUAUAAACUUUAAUCACUAGACAUUGUAAAAAAAAAAAAAAUUAUAGUUAUUUAUUCUAGUUUUUUUUUUCACACUCCAUCUAUGUAAGAUCUGUGCCUAUGCAUCAGCCUGUGGAAAAAACAAGGGCCAAUGCCAGAAUUUCAGAUCCAAAUUAUUGUUGGCAAAUUUAUUCCAGUUCUUUCAAAUAAGAAGUUUUUAAGUUCUUAAAUCAAAAUAUCAAUUUCUAAAUCAAAAUAUCAAUUUUUGAGUUCUUUUUUUUCAUUACCAAUAUCCAGUCCACUGGACCGUUUAAUCUGAUUUAGAGGUCAGUUCUGUCAUUAACUAGUUCUAGCCCCAUCUGAUUGCAAUUGCGGGAUCGAAAAAUGGUUCUCCCAAAAAAAAAUAACACAAAAAUAAAUCAUAAACAUACUGAAAUAAAGAUCAUAUAUAACCAACCAUAUUAAGAUAAGGGCAUAAUUAGUUAAUUGGUCCCUUAAAGACAUUUUAGGUUUCAUAAUGGUCCCUUAAAGAAAAAAAGUUUUGGAUUGGUCCCUUAAAGACAUAUCCGUCAGUCGUUUUGGUCCCUUCGGUCCAUUUUUUCCAAAGAAACGUUAACUAUUAAUAGAUGAACCAAUAUACAUUGUGGUCUACCGUAGACCUCAAUAAAAUUUAAAAUUUUAACCAUUUGAUUAUUUUGUCAAAAUCUUAACCAUCAAAUCAUGUAAAGUAUAUGGUAUCUAAGAGCCAACCAACCACACCUAACUUUUUCUCCUUUUAUUUUCAUCUUCUUCCUUAUUCUUCUUCAUCACCAGAGAAGAAGUAGUGCCAAAAACCAAUAACAAAAAGCAAACGUUUUUCACAAUCACCAACCCGCAUAUUCACAUGGUGAGCAUGAUCUUCACCAUCACCCCCUUCUUUUGAAUCUCUUCAAAAUCUUCAAUACCCAAAACUCAAAAUCCCUCAAUUCAU